AGCAGUAGUCAUUCCAAGGAAAAUCAGCAAAAUACCUCCUCAGGUCCCCCCAACUAGCAGAGGCAAAACGCCAGAGGCACCUUCGCUUAGGGGGAUCCUGAGGAGGGAUUGGAGUGAUAGGACAAGAUAAAGAUAUGAGAUUGUGAUCGGAGGAGCCCAACGGAGAAGAAAGGGUGACAGCAUAAGCAGAAGGAUUAGAGGUCAGGAAGAGGUCAAGAAUGUUGGGCGUAUCUCCAAGACGGUCAGGAAUACGAGUAGGGUGUUGCACCAAUUGCUCUAGGUCAUGGAGGAUAGCAAAGUUGUAGGCUUUCCACACAUUACGUGUGGAAAGAGUAUUGCGUGUUCUACUACUACUUCUACUACUACUAUUACUACUACUGCCGUGAAGACAUCAACCCGACCUGAGCCGACUGUGGGAGUGACAAAUGGUUCCCUGGACGCCGUGUGUCACCGGAUUGCAGGCGAGCGUCAGGCGGACCAUGAGUCGGGACGCUGGCAAGUCCGUUGACCAGAACCUGACCAGGAAAAUUCAAGAAGCGUGGCCUUGACCUUGCUCAGCAGUUGUGCCCUCACCUGACCUACGUUAUGUUGCUCUGCGUUCAUUGUUUCUGGCAAACCCAGUGUCUCGCGUCCCCUCAGCGUGGCCAAGUCCCCUCCCGCGGUGCCAUUCUCUCAAAUCAGCCACAACAUGUCAAGGCGGCCAGUCCCGGCUCCCUGCAGAGGCUUUUUGUGUUCUCACCAUUUCUCUCCACCGUUGCUGCUCGCUGGCCCUUCUUCACCCUCACACCCGCCCGGGACUGACAUCACAAGUGGAAGAUAUAACCCAUUUGCGAGAGUUUUCAUGGCGACGAGGGAGCAACAGUGUGUGUAAAGGUCAAUUUCCUGGACACUGGAGGCUAAAAAUUGCUGCAUACUCAGGGUAUUCCGCGUCACAGAAAACGGAAUUUGCCGCCUGUGAGCGCCUGCCCGCCCCUAGAUGGUGGUGGGGGGUGUCUCAAGGCGCCCGUGCAUUGUGGCGUGGCUCGUGUGGCUGGUGGGUGCUUGCUCCUUCUUGUGAGAAUGUGGCGUAUACCUCUAGAUUUUUUUCAUGGUUUGAUAUUAAUAUGUGAGAUGCAGUACGAGAUUAUGUUUCCGCGUGUGUAAGAGGUUAGUUAAUAGAAAAAUAAAUAAAUAAAUAGAUAAAAUAAAAGAGUCAUUGUCGUUCAUUAACAAAGCUAAGUAAAAAAUGGUUUCAAUAGGGAAGCUAAAUUAAUUUCAGAAAUGUCUGCCUAUUAUUUUUUUUCCACAUUCCAUCAUAACAUUGUCUUUUGUUUGUUGUUUUCCUCAUAAGCUGUUAUUUAAAGAUGGUGACGAUAAUAAUGAAGAGUUUGUAACAAUGUGCUUAAUGAUUACCAAACAAAGCAGUAUUUGUACCAUGAACCUCGCGGCUAAUGAGGGAAAAUUGCCUUUCUUGUACACACAUGAAAAGCAACAAAGGAAAGUUGAGAUAAGCCUCCAUAGUGGAAAAUAGAUAAAUAAAUAAAUAAAUAAAUUCU
Long non-coding RNA from Scylla paramamosain (green mud crab), 1535 nucleotides. RefSeq lists it as uncharacterized. The record is from RefSeq and is a predicted model, not a curated record. The transcript is spliced from 3 exons. Lineage: Eukaryota; Metazoa; Arthropoda; Malacostraca; Decapoda; Portunidae.